UGCGUAGGCGGGUCUUUAAGUCAGGGGUGAAAUCCUGGAGCUCAACUCCAGAACUGCCUUUGAUACUGAAGAUCUUGAGUCCGGGAGAGGUGAGUGGAACUGCGAGUGUAGAGGUGAAAUUCGUAGAUAUUCGCAAGAACACCAGUGGCGAAGGCGGCUCACUGGCCCGGUACUGACGCUGAGGCACGAAAGCGUGGGGGAGCAAACA
RNAcentral lists this ribosomal RNA (208 nucleotides) under uncultured bacterium. RNAcentral describes it as "partial 16S ribosomal RNA". It matches the Rfam family "Bacterial small subunit ribosomal RNA", at positions 568 to 774 of the family's 1533-position model. The record is from RNAcentral.